UACAGAGGUGGCAAGCGUUGUUCGGAAUUACUGGGCGUAAAGGGCGCGUAGGCGGCCUUCUAAGUCAGACGUGAAAUCCCCCGGCUUAACCUGGGAACUGCGUUUGAUACUGAGGAGCUUGAGUCCGGGAGAGGUGAGUGGAACUGCGAGUGUAGAGGUGAAAUUCGUAGAUAUUCGCAAGAACACCAGUGGCGAAGGCGGCUCACUGGCCCGGUACUGACGCUGAGGUGCGAAAGCGUGGGGAGCAAACAGG
RNAcentral lists this ribosomal RNA (253 nucleotides) under uncultured bacterium. RNAcentral describes it as "partial 16S ribosomal RNA". It matches the Rfam family "Bacterial small subunit ribosomal RNA", at positions 524 to 776 of the family's 1533-position model. The record is from RNAcentral.